Molecule: ribosomal RNA, 480 nt
Filed under: uncultured bacterium
Lineage: Bacteria
Description: partial 16S ribosomal RNA
Rfam family: Bacterial small subunit ribosomal RNA
Source: RNAcentral
GAUGAACGCUGGCGGCGUGCUUAACACAUGCAAGUCGAACGAAGCACUUUAUUUGAUUUCCUUCGGGACUGAUUAUUUUGUGACUGAGUGGCGGACGGGUGAGUAACGCGUGGGUAACCUGCCUUGUACAGGGGGAUAACAGUUGGAAACGGCUGCUAAUACCGCAUAAGCGCACAGCAUCGCAUGAUGCAGUGUGAAAAACUCCGGUGGUAUAAGAUGGACCCGCGUUGGAUUAGCUAGUUGGUGAGGUACGGCCCACCAAGGCGACGAUCCAUAGCCGACCUGAGAGGGUGACCGGCCACAUUGGGACUGAGACACGGCCCAAACUCCUACGGGAGGCAGCAGUGGGGAAUAUUGCACAAUGGGCGAAAGCCUGAUGCAGCGACGCCGCGUGAGCGAAGAAGUAUUUCGGUAUGUAAAGCUCUAUCAGCAGGGAAGAUAAUGACGGUACCUGACUAAGAAGCACCGGCUAAAUACGUG